This 253-nucleotide ribosomal RNA is filed under the name uncultured bacterium. Its description in RNAcentral is "partial 16S ribosomal RNA". It matches the Rfam family "Bacterial small subunit ribosomal RNA", at positions 524 to 776 of the family's 1533-position model. The record is from RNAcentral.
UACGUAGGUGGCAAGCGUUAUCCGGAAUUAUUGGGCGUAAAGCGCGCGCAGGUGGUUUCUUAAGUCUGAUGUGAAAGCCCACGGCUCAACCGUGGAGGGUCAUUGGAAACUGGGAGACUUGAGUGCAGAAGAGGAAAGUGGAAUUCCAUGUGUAGCGGUGAAAUGCGUAGAGAUAUGGAGGAACACCAGUGGCGAAGGCGACUUUCUGGUCUGUAACUGACACUGAGGCGUGAAAGCGUGGGGAGCAAACAGG